RNAcentral lists this long non-coding RNA (1416 nucleotides) under Homo sapiens (human). RNAcentral describes it as "HSALNT0353846". Lineage: Eukaryota; Metazoa; Chordata; Mammalia; Primates; Hominidae. The record is from RNAcentral.
UCAUUGGGAUCUCGCGAGAACGAAAUCUUCCUUUCUGUGGGCGGAGCAAUCUUCCCGAUGUCUCUUCCCUCUGAGGCCAGUAGCAGGAAGGGCCUCGGGAGUUGCGAGUGUCGCGAGGUUUGAGGUCGCUCGGUGGGCCGGGCGCUGUGCGAAGCUAGAAAUAACUGGGGGCAUGGAGAAUGCGGUGGCUGUAAAGGGCCGCUGAGGCGGUGGAGGCCUGGCAGAGAGCGUCCCCGCGGUCGCGGCUUCUGGCUUCUCUGUGGAGCUUGGUUCUUCCGUGGUGGUGCAGCACCCCAGGAACUUCAGGAACCAGUCCUUCCUUGGAGAGCUCCCCGGGACAGCCACGGGGGCCAAGUGAAACUAGCGCGUUUUCUUGGAUCCUACACUUUAUAGUGAGUCAUAAAUACUUUAAAUACAAAGCCAACAACAUUUGCUGCAAAUAAACGUAAAAAUACUGUUAAAGUGUAAAGUGUUUUCCUCCGUACCAUCUGACGUUUCUGGCGGUUCGUUGAACGCGAGAGAACGCUGAGCCGUCUGCACUGAGCCCGGGAGCAUCUUCAGGGCAGCGCCGCCCACGCGCGAGGUGAAUGAAGGACACGGCCUCUUGACACUCCCAGGCAGCACAGAUAGACGGAUCCGACAAUCCUUAGCUUGCCUUUGCCAGCUUCUGUCCACAUUCCUUGGCUUUGGUCCCUUCCUCCAUCUUCAAAGCCAGUGAUAUGCCAUCUCUCUGAACCUUCCAUCCUCAAGUCUACCGCUGAUUGCAGCUGGAAAAGAUUCUGAGGGCUCACCUGAGUAAUCCAGGAUCAUCUUCCCAUUUCCAGGUCUCUGCCCUUGAUCACAUCAGCAGAAUCCUUUUGCCAUUGGCUAGAAGUGACCCCAGGAUUUUUUUAUUAUCAAGAGAGACUAGAAGAAUCAUGAGACUUUUCCUAGUUGCCUUUCAAGAAUAUGAAGAAAAAAAUGGUUCUCAAAGUGGGUUUGAAUGAGUAUUGUUCCAAUAAAUGAACUUAUAUUCAUAUUUCAUCCCCUGAGUCCUGGUGUUUCAACAUCCAUUAGAACUGAAUAAUCAUACUGCAUAUCAAAGUUUGUGGGAAAUUGCUAAAGUGUAAAAAAUGCUCAUAUUGAAAAAGAAGAAAAGCUGAAAAUUAAUUGUGCUUCCAACUUUAAAAAAGGACAACAAGCUAAUCCUAAAGAAACUAGAAUAAAAGGAAAAAAUAAACAGAAGUUAAAGAGUAAUUUUAAAAAAUACAAUAGAAAUUAUCAACGAAGCCAAAAGUUGAUUCUUUGAAAAGAUUAAUGAAGUAGGCAAACCACUGGUGAGAUGAAUCAAGAAAAAUAGAGAAAAGACUCAAAUAAACAUUAGGAAUGGAAAAUAGGGCAAUGCUAAAGAGAAUUCAAAGAUCAGAAAAAUAUGGG